Cyprinus carpio carpio is the source of this 441-nucleotide long non-coding RNA. NCBI's taxonomy places the organism in Eukaryota, Metazoa, Chordata, Actinopteri, Cypriniformes, Cyprinidae. The record is from Ensembl.
GUGAUUCUUUUAUUAAACAAAGGAGCAAAGGAAAUCAAGCAACUCUCCUGUGACUCAGCUGAAGAGAACAGCCUGUGCAAUGAGUAUAAAUGUUUUUGUAAGGAGCUUGGAUGCACUCACAUGUCUCAGAAGAUCUUUAAAUGAGUUUGCAGGGUGUCAUUAAUACAUCGGACUGCAUGAAUAAACCAGCAAACCCAGCAGUGGCGGGUCUGUGAUGCUUCUGGAACGGCUGGGACUAGAGCCAUGAAUCAUGUCAUCUGGUCGGGCUUAUGAAAAGAGCUCUGCGUCUGUUCUCGCCACUCAGACAGACAGAGAGACCAGAGCGGGGUGGUACUAAAUCAUACAGCUCAUCACUUCCAAUGCAUUUGCUCAGCAAGACAUAUUCUGGAUUUAUGGGGCUUUUGAGAAUGAGGAGCUUUGGGAGAGAGGCUAUGGGCAAAG